Long non-coding RNA from Bos taurus (domestic cattle), 2839 nucleotides. The record is from Ensembl. NCBI's taxonomy places the organism in Eukaryota, Metazoa, Chordata, Mammalia, Artiodactyla, Bovidae.
CCAGAGAAAAAGCCUGUGUGGGUGUACUGGGUCAAGAAUGCCUUUUCAAAGCGUGCCUUACACCCCUGCGCCCCAGGGAGGGUUAGGUUCCGGCAGAAAACUUCACAGUAGGAGGGAAAAGGGAACACCCCGUGUCUGUUCUCCAGGAUGCACCCUGCUUUUCUACCCUCUUCUGUGACCCAAAAGAUCUGGACCACCUUAGGCUCCAGGCUCCCAUCAGCAUCACAGCCCAUCAGUGUCAGGGGCAACAACUGAAAGCAAUUGAGAAGAAAGCAAAAUCUUCAUCAGGGUUCCUGGGAAAACAGCUGCAGAGAUUCCAGGUUCAUCCACCGCAAAGCUUCUCCCUACUCAUCUCUCCAUCUCUCCCCUCCCUUCCCCAAUCUCCCCUAGUCCCCAUCCCCCCAAAUAGCCUUCAGUCUCUUCUUUCUCUCUCAAAAAACCUCUCCCCCUGCCUUGCCAGAUCUGCUUCCACCCAAAGAAUCCUUCCUUUAAAAUCUCCCUACUGUGGGCUGCCUCUGCAGGCCAUUCUUAAUCCCCAUGUCAAAAGGCUGGAGAGCCUGGACGUCAGGACCGAAUUUUCCAGCUCUCCACCCUGUGACUCCCAGCUUCUCUGAUCCUGUCUGUAUUUACUGCUGUCACCCCUUAACCUGUCAGGUGUAAGCCCAUUUCCUAGUGAUGCCAAAAGACCCGAACACCUUAAUUCUGGAAACUCACCAAGGGUCAAGCGUUUACUCAGGCAUUAAAGCUGUCUGUGCUAGAGCAAUUUAGAUUUGUAUUUGCAAGGAAAACAUAACUAGUCCAGCAGACAUCCAUGUAUAGCUUUUCUCCAUUAACUCAAGCAAGCAAAAAGAAGCACCAUCAGCCAUAUAGAACAAGUCCCAGGGGCCUUUCUCCCGCUGGCAAAGAAGAGAAAGAGGAGAAACACUGUAGCAGCCCACGCCCCAUCCCCAGGCUCAGGCCCAAUCUCACUCUAAGAGUUUGGGGAGCCCCAGUCUCAGUGAGGAGGGGGCACACUUUAGGAUUGAAAGUUUCCAUGUCCCGGAUCAUCCAAGUCUAGCGUUCCUGUGAGUUUUGACUUGAGGUGAGGUCAGUACAGGCCGCAGGCGGGAAAUGUGCUCAAAUGCUGACUGCCUGGAAGGUCUUUUCCAUUUCGGAGUGUCGGCUGUGGGUCAGACCGUCUCAGGGAAUAAACUGUAAGUGGAGACACACACUCCAGCAGCCAGAAUCCAAAGCAAAUAAAACAUGUGCCAUCCUGAAGUCCUUUCACAGGAGAGAGGAAUCCCACUGAGGCAAGCAAGGAAAGCAGUGUAAAAGAGGUUUUAACAAUGGAACAAAGAUGAAAACCCUCAAAAUAGCAAGAUGGCCUUUUCUUUCAUUCAUUCAAGGGAACACUCAGCACCUUCUUUGAGUCAGGUUCCAUGGUAAAGCACAGAGAGGCUGCCUAAUUGACACUCUCAUCAGUCACCAAUAAAAGGGAAGGCGUGGCAGAAGACUCGAGGAUGUCAGAAAGAAGCACAACCUGAGUAGAGGUGAGGCAGAGACCAGGGUUGCCCAAGGUCAUGGCAAGAGACGAGGUGGAGGGAGCCCUCCCUUUCUGACUGCUGGCUCAGUGGUCAGUCCACGCUGACCAAAAGAGGCUGCUUGUACUAUGCAAGUAAAAUAUGAACGCCCAGGUUGUUGGGGAGCAAGAAGACACUCCGAAUACGAGGUGGAAAGGGGGAGCCGGGAGCAGGAGAAACCGGACUUCCCUUUUAUGUGUUGCUUCAUGCCUCUGCUGGUGAACAGCAGGAGGAGAGAGAAAUGGCUGACUCCAAACCCACAGUUCCUGCCCUGGAGUGAAAUAAAAUACUCCGAGGCUGGUGUUUCAAUUGGUGCAAGAUUCUGAAGAGAGCCGAACACUCCCUCUUCCUUUUUGGGACAUGAAUUCCCCAGCUGAAAAAAUGCAUCACUUGGCCUUACCUGCCCUACUCCAUCACCACCUCCUUCUCAGGGAUGUCGUGACAAAGAGGUGACGGUAUCCCAUGGCUUGGAUGCUGCCUCCGCCAGAUGACACCUGACACGGGGGCAAGGUUCUUCUCAACACAGAUAGACACGUACUCACCCCGCAGCUGGAAAUUUUCCCAACAGCGCCCAUUUGGAAAUUCCAUUGUCAGUUAUAAAACAGACCUCCCCCGAGGUUGAGAGGAGGAGGGAAAGGCAGAGAUGAGUCUGAAAAUCCAAAGGACUGUAUGGUCUAAGAAUGAAAUGUUUUCUAAAUCAAAUUAAGCUACACGGUGAAAAUUGAGGAGAAAGUCCUUAAGGUGACUUUUAAAUGAAAAUGAAAUGUCUGCUAGUAAGCUACAGAGGUGUAUUGGUACCGAGUGGCAGCCUUGUAUCUCAUUAAUUUCAAACAUAGAUUUUUAUGUGAGGCUAUUUGAUUAUAAUUUGAUUAUCUGACCCUGUAAUUAAAGUUUAUUGCCAAUUUGGAAGCUUACAUGUAAAAUGAACUGGUUUUCUUCAAAGCAAUAUACAAUCCUUCGGACUCAUUGACUUCUGGUUUUGCAUUUAAAUGGAAAAGUCAGUUAUAACGUGACAAACAGGUUGGGGUUUUGAUCAUUAAUCCUGCUAAAGCAAUAUUCAUAAAUUCAAUUCUGAAUCAGUUGGAAUACUUUUCUUUUAUUAGUUUCUGUGUUAUUAAAUGAGAUUGUUUCUGACUAAUAUAUUUCUGGACUCAAACUGUAGCUCCAAGCUGUUAUUCAAAUCAAAUAACAUGCCCCUUACUUGUGCCUCGCACUAAUAAAUGCCAACUUGUGAUACAUUUGCAAGAGACUGUCAGCAAUAUUAAAGGAGGCAAUAACGC